This 70-nucleotide transfer RNA is filed under the name Loxosceles similis. Its description in RNAcentral is "tRNA-Ser". Lineage: Eukaryota; Metazoa; Arthropoda; Arachnida; Araneae; Sicariidae. The record is from RNAcentral.
GACUUAUUAAUAAGAUAGAUUUUAUAAUUAUGUUUUGAAAACAUUGAAUAAGGCUGAGCCUUUAUAGUUG